RNAcentral lists this transfer RNA (75 nucleotides) under Bacteroidales bacterium. Its description in RNAcentral is "tRNA-Pro". It matches the Rfam family "tRNA". Rfam says of the family: Transfer RNA (tRNA) molecules are approximately 80 nucleotides in length. Lineage: Bacteria; Pseudomonadati; Bacteroidota; Bacteroidia; Bacteroidales. The record is from RNAcentral.
CGGGAUGUAGCGCAGUCCGGUUAGCGCACCUGGUUUGGGACCAGGGGGUCGAUGGUUCGAAUCCAUUCACCCCGA